UGAGUAACGCGUGGAUAAUCUACCCUUAAGAUGGGGAUAACGGCUGGAAACGGUCGCUAAUACCGAAUACGCUCCCGAUUUUAUCGUUGGGGGGAAAGAUGGCCUCUGCUUGCAAGCUAUCGCUUAAGGAUGAGUCCGCGUCCCAUUAGCUAGUUGGCGGGGUAGCGGCCCACCAAGGCAACGAUGGGUAGCCGGUCUGAGAGGAUGACCGGCCACACUGGAACUGGAACACGGUCCAG
RNAcentral lists this ribosomal RNA (239 nucleotides) under uncultured bacterium. RNAcentral describes it as "partial 16S ribosomal RNA". It matches the Rfam family "Bacterial small subunit ribosomal RNA", at positions 107 to 334 of the family's 1533-position model. The record is from RNAcentral.